Lycium barbarum (goji berry) is the source of this 1358-nucleotide long non-coding RNA. RefSeq lists it as uncharacterized. The transcript is spliced from 2 exons. The record is from RefSeq and is a predicted model, not a curated record. Lineage: Eukaryota; Viridiplantae; Streptophyta; Magnoliopsida; Solanales; Solanaceae.
ACAUGAAAAAUGGGUUAAUUGACAAAUAAUAUGGAUUGGGAUCUCUCCAUUUCUUUUCUCUCCAUUUACAUCAAGUUCUAUCUUAGACUAGGGACACAUGGCAUGAAUUAAAUUUAACAACUAAGAUUUAAUUGAUUAAAAUAUGGCCCUAACCAUGAUUUACAUAAUUAACAACUUAUUCAUAAAUAUAUUAAAGUAUUUUUUCUUCCUUACUAUUUUAUUUUUCUACACAGUAAUAUCUUUUCUCCUUUAUCAGUUUACCCGUUCCUUUCUCCUUCUUGGCCCCAAAACAAUUUUUGGUGCAAAUAUUUUUGCAGCACCCGAAAAUCAUGGCUGCAGAUAUCUUUCAGGUUUUUAUCGUAGAAAUCAGUCUUCUGAAGAUAUCUUAGAUAAAAAAAUCAACAGAAAAGAACACAAGAAGAGGGACAAAAAACGGAGAACGAGACAACAAGACGUGGAGCUUCAUUUUUGCUGGAUUUAAAAAUGACUAUCUCGCCAGAUUUAUGGAGACUGAGUCCCAAAAUGAGCAUAUGGAUAUUUCUCAUUCGUUUGGGCCAAUAAAACUUGGAAUGGAAUUUGAUUCAGAUGAGCAUGCAUUUGAAUAUUACAAUGAAUAUGCUGCUACAAUUGGUUUUAGUGUUAGAAAGGAAUAUGCAAACAGAAGUAAAAUCCCUGGAUGUGUGACUUCAAGAAACUUUACAUGUUAUAAAGAAGGUCAUAGAGGACAAGACAAGAGAGAUCACAAAAACUAUACUCGUGACAAAAGAAAAGAAAAUCUACGAUAUGGAGUGGCUCGUAGCUUGGUAAAUUAUUUUGAAAAAAGAGUAAUAGAAGAUCCAUCUUUUCGGUUUUCUUCAAAAUUAGUAACAAAUAUUUUCUGGGCUGAUGCUAAAUGAUAAGGGAUUUCCAGAUUUAUCGAGAUGUAUCGUUCGACACAACAUAUAGAACAAAUAAGGAGUACCGUCCAUUGGCUCUGUUUGUUGGAUUAAAUAAUCACAAGGAGAUUGUUGUAUUUGGUGCUGCCCUUUUAUAUGAUGAAACAGCUGAAGCAUUUGAAUGGCUUUUUAAUGUAUCUUUUUGGAGCUAUGUCUGCAGAUAAGCCACAAACAUUCAUCACAGAUCAAGAUCCCGCAAUUAGUUUAGCAGUCUCUUUUGUGAUGAAACAAACAUAUCAUGAUUUAAACAAGUACUCUCAAGCUGGAUAGCCAAUAUCAUGAAAUUGCACAAAUUGCGUUAUGGUGAUAACUCUGUAACCACAAAUAUGAGUGCUGUGUUCAUUAUUUUAACUCUUGAAGCUGUGAAUGUGUGUUAUUAGCUUUCGUUGUUUUGUUUUAGCGAAUCGACUGACAGUAUGUUUA